Molecule: long non-coding RNA, 2922 nt
Filed under: Nicotiana benthamiana
Lineage: Eukaryota; Viridiplantae; Streptophyta; Magnoliopsida; Solanales; Solanaceae
Description: long non-coding RNA (NBEN_LNC013341)
Source: RNAcentral
UUGCCUUAACAAAAGAGUAGUUUAACCAAAAAAAACAUGCAAUAAAAUGUGCACGGGGCAUAUUUAUAUUCCAAAGUACCUAACUAGAGAAAUCCAAAGUACCUAUAAGUCAGACCACGACAAACAAAUUGAAACAGAGGAGUAAUCAAUAAAGGCAAGUCAGAAUAUAAAUAUGCCUCGAUGUUAAGCUCAUAAAGGAAUUCACCCCUCGCACAUCUAAUUUGUUUUCAUCAUUCUUGCCCCAACCAACAAGAGAGUAGUUUACCAAUAAAAGUUGCGAUAAAAUGUACAUCCCACCAUCUACUAGAGCAAUUUGAAGUAUCUAUAAGUAAGACUACGGCAAGCAAAUUGAAACAAAGGAGUAAUACGUAAAGGCAAGUCAGAAUAUAAAUAUGCCUCGAUGUUAAGCUCAUAGAGGAAUACAUCCCUCGCACAUCUAAUUUUUUUCAUCAUUCUUGCCAAAACAAAACAUCAGAUUUACCGAUAAAGCCUACAGCGAGCAAAUUGAAACAGCAGAGUAACCCAUAAAGGCAAGUCAGACUAUAACUAUGCCUCGAGGUUAAGCUCAUAGAGGAAUACACCCCUCACGCAUCUAAUUUUUUUCAUCAUUCUUGCCAUAACAAAAGAGUAGAUUUACAAAUAAAGCCUGUAUCUACUAGAGCCGAAGGACUUAUAAGUCAGACUACGGCAAGCAAAUUGAAAAAAUGGAGCAAUCCAUAAAAGCAAAUCAGACAAUAAAUACGCCUUGAUGUUAAGCUAAUAGAGGAAUACACCCCUCACACGUAAUUUUUUUUUCACCAUUCUUGAAAAAACAAAAGAGUAGAUAUGCCAAUUCCCUCCCCACGUCUACUGGAGCAAACCGAAGAAUCUUUUGUUCUAUAAUCCCACAAUAUGGCAAAGAUACACUUACUAAGUCAUGUAAAUUGAACAAAUGCAGUAAUCCAUAAAGGCAAGUCAGAAUAUCAAUAAGCCUCGAUGUUAAGCUCACACAGGAAUUAACCCCUGGCACAUCUAACUUUUUUCAUCAUUCUUGCCAUGACUAAAGAGCAAAGUCAUCAAAAAAAGCAUGUAUUAAAAUGCUAUGUUGUUAGAGUCCUUCAAAAAUUCCGCUGAACACGUAUAGCAUCCUCCAAUACUACUACUACUACUACUACAACAACAACAACAAAAACCAGGCAAAAAUAACAAAAAUAUAAGGAAAACCAAAACUCAAGCAAGUCAGAAUAUCAAUAAGCAUUGAAGUUACGCUCAAAAAGAAAUUCACCUCUCGCACAUCUAAAUUUUUUCAUCAUUCUUGCCAUAACAAGGAAUAUAUUAACUAAUAAAACUUGCAAUAAAAUGUAUACCCAUCCAUUUACUUGAGCAAUCCAAAGUAUCUUUUGUUCUAUAAUCUAACAAUAUGGAAAAGAUACACCAUAUAAAACACACUAUGACAUACAAAUUACAAAAGCGAAGGUAGUUCAUAAAAGGCAAGUCAGAAUAUCAAUAAGCCUCGAUGUAAGCUCAUAAAGGAAUUCCACCUCUCACACAUCUAAUUUUUUCAUCAUUCUUGCGAUAACAAAGAGUAAAUAUACAAAUAACAAUUACAUCAUAAUGUACACCCCACCUCAACUAGAGUCAUUCAGAGUAUCUUUGGGUCUAUAAUCCCAUAUGGGAAAGAUAGAACCAAAAAAGGGAAAUGACCAAAUAUAAUUAGGAGAGGCAAAAAGAGAAUCACUAAAGGAAAACCCUAAAGAGAACCUCCAGCAUAUACAACUCUCUUAAUAUAUAUACAAGUACAUUAAACAAGUGUGUAUAUACAGUUAAUGUAGCGCGGCUAUGACUCAAAACGCUUCCAUGGUGCAUAGUGGAAGGCGAUCUUAAGGGCUGCGCAAAAUAUCAAAAUUAUUCUAGAAUAAAUAGUAUAUUCCUAAAGUGCCAUCUCUCAAAAAAUAUACUUAAAAAGGUAGAUUUUUUUCAUUGGUAACAAAUUUUACCAACUUAAUUAUAAGAACACGUCCUAAAGUGCCAUCUCUCAAAAAAUAUAAUUAAAAAAGGUAGAAUUUUUCCAUCAAAGAAAUUUAUAUCAACAAAAUUUUACCAAUUUUAUUAUAAGAACACGAAAUUAAACAGUUUGUAGUUUAAAAAACAAUGCACAGUAAUAUAUCAAAGCUAAUAAUUGAUCUGCAAACCAUUGUUUUCUUUUCAACAAGUGAUGCGUCUAUACUUUCAGUGAACCGAGGGUCUAUCAAAAACAGUAUCUUUAGUUUCACAAGGGUAUGUACAAACUACCCUGCCCAUAUACACUUGGAUUUUUUGAUGUUGUUGUUGUUAUAAGGUGCAAAAUAAUACUGUACCAUCCAUGAAAAUCAACUGCAAGAUUAAUUACAGCUGACAAAGUGAAGAAUGGGAAUAAAUAUCAGGAACUAAGAACACCCUCUAUUGCACUUAACAAGCAGGAGAGAAGAUAAUAGAUAGCUCCUCCUCGGCAUUUAAGCAUGCAAUUACAUACAAUUAAAGGGUAGAAAAACUAAAAAACGCACAAAACGUAAUUUAUACCAAAGUCUCAUAGUUCUGAAACAAAUUUUAAAGUUUACCAGUCAUGCUAAUCAACUGUAACAGAAGAAAACACAGCUGACUAAGUUGAGAAUGGCAAUAACUAUAAGGGUACUUAUAACAUCCCUGUAGUAUAUAAAUUGCUACGGGUUUAACAGAAAUAUUACGCACCCAAUAUUCACAAGAAUUUAAGGGGAAAACAACAAAGAACAGAGAGCAAAUUGGAAACCAUGAAAAUUAAAGUAAUAGAGAACAAGCUCACAUUGGUUUAGUAAGAAGCUCAUUUUCUAGCGGUAUUCGGCUAUCUUGGGGAGCUUAAACCGCAGGAGUUGGUGAGUGAAAAACAGAUUAUUUAUAGAAUCGCCAGUUUUAGGGUUUUUGAAGAGC